RNAcentral lists this ribosomal RNA (517 nucleotides) under Scrippsiella trochoidea. RNAcentral's name for it is "partial Bacterial small subunit ribosomal RNA". It matches the Rfam family "Bacterial small subunit ribosomal RNA", at positions 1 to 527 of the family's 1533-position model. Lineage: Eukaryota; Dinophyceae; Peridiniales; Peridiniaceae. The record is from RNAcentral.
GUGGAGAGUUUGAUCCUGGCUCAGAUUGAACGCUGGCGGCAGGCCUAACACAUGCAAGUCGAGCGCUUCCCUUCGGGGAGGAGCGGCGGACGGGUGAGUAACGCGUGGGAACGUACCCUUUUCUGCGGAAUAGCCACUGGAAACGGUGAGUAAUACCGCAUACGCCCUUCGGGGGAAAGCGGGGGAUCUUCGGACCUCGCGCCAUUAGAUGAGCUUAGGUCAGAUUAGCUUGUUGGUGAGGUAAUGGCUCACCAAGGCAACGAUCUGUAGCUGGUCUGAGAGGAUGAUCAGCCACACUGGAACUGAGACACGGUCCAGACUCCUACGGGAGGCAGCAGUAGGGAAUAUUGCACAAUGGAGGAAACUCUGAUGCAGCCAUGCCGCGUGUGUGAAGAAGGCCUUAGGGUUGUAAAGCACUUUCAGUAAGGAAGAAAAAGCAGGGUUAAUACCCCUGUCUUAUGACAUUACUUACAGAAGAAGCACCGGCUAACUCCGUGCCAGCAGCCGCGGUAAUACG